This 190-nucleotide ribosomal RNA is filed under the name uncultured Glomeromycotina. RNAcentral describes it as "partial 18S ribosomal RNA". The stretch from base 43 to 190 matches the Rfam family "Eukaryotic small subunit ribosomal RNA", at positions 739 to 885 of the family's 1831-position model. Lineage: Eukaryota; Fungi; Glomeromycota. The record is from RNAcentral.
CACCUUCUGGAGAAUCACGAUGUUCUUAAUUGGGUGUCGUGUGGAUCCAGGACCUUUACCUUGAAAAAAUUAGAGUGUUUAAAGCAGGCAUUUUUGCUCGAAUACAUUAGCAUGGAAUAAUAAAAUAGGACGGCUUGGUUCUAUUUUGUUGGUUUCUAGGAUCACCGUAAUGAUUAAUAGGGAUAGUUGG